UCCGUAGGGGUGACCUGCGGAGGGAUCAUUGCUGGAACGCGCUUCGGCGCACCCAGAAACCCUUUGUGAACUUAUACCUAUUGUUGCCUCGGCGCAGGCCGGCCUCUUCACUGAGGCCCCCUGGAGACAGGGAGCAGCCCGCCGGCGGCCAACCAAACUCUUGUUUCUACAGUGAAUCUCUGAGUAAAAAACAUAAAUGAAUCAAA
RNAcentral lists this unclassified non-coding RNA (206 nucleotides) under Phomopsis sp. DZF-M1a. Its description in RNAcentral is "partial ITS1". The record is from RNAcentral. Lineage: Eukaryota; Fungi; Ascomycota; Sordariomycetes; Diaporthales; Diaporthaceae.